This 484-nucleotide ribosomal RNA is filed under the name uncultured bacterium. Its description in RNAcentral is "partial 16S ribosomal RNA". It matches the Rfam family "Bacterial small subunit ribosomal RNA", at positions 30 to 507 of the family's 1533-position model. The record is from RNAcentral.
AUUGAACGCUGGCGGCAGGCCUAACACAUGCAAGUCGAGCGGAUGAAGGGAGCUUGCUCCUGGAUUCGGCGGCGGACGGGUGAGUAAUGCCUAGGAAUCUGCCUGGCAGUGGGGGAUAACGUCCGGAAACGGGCGCUAAUACCGCAUACGUCCUGAGGGAGAAAGUGGGGGAUCUUCGGACCUCACGCUAUCAGAUGAGCCUAGGUCGGAUUAGCUAGUUGGUGGGGUAAAGGCCUACCAAGGCGACGAUCCGUAACUGGUCUGAGAGGAUGAUCAGUCACACUGGAACUGAGACACGGUCCAGACGCCUACGGGAGGCAGCAGUGGGGAAUAUUGGACAAUGGGCGAAAGCCUGAUCCAGCCAUGCCGCGUGUGUGAAGAAGGUCUUCGGAUUGUAAAGCACUUUAAGUUGGGAGGAAGGGCAGUAAGUUAAGACCUUGCUGUAUUGACGUUACCAACAGAAUAAGCACCGGCUAACUUCGUG